RNAcentral lists this long non-coding RNA (662 nucleotides) under Olea europaea subsp. europaea. Lineage: Eukaryota; Viridiplantae; Streptophyta; Magnoliopsida; Lamiales; Oleaceae. The record is from RNAcentral.
GUUCAUCUUCUUCUCCACUUACCCUCCUCACACCCACCCACGUAUCCCAAAAUCAAAAUCCACCAAAAUUGGAUGCGGUUCUCUGCUCCACUUAAAAAACACAAAGAUGGCUGUUUCAGAAAACCCUAACAUUAGGCCUUCGCCUAAGAAUAAGAUUUGAGCGAGGAAGUUUCUGAUCGUGAAGAAGAAAUCGUAGAAACAGGAAUCGAAUGGUUUCAGGGUUGCUGUGGCUUGUACCAAGUGUGAGACGACAAAUGGGAGAUCGAAGUGUUUGUGUGUGGCCUAUGAGAGUUUGAGGGCUUCUCAAGAAGAAUUUUUCAAAAAUUGUGGUAAAAUAGAUGACGGGGUUGAUUCCAAGAAGUUAAAGGAAUGCGAUAGUAGAGUCGAUGGGAAGGAGAAUGAAAUCAAUUCCUUGAAUCAAAAUACAGAGUUUGCACAUGGAUCCGAGGUGAUAUCCUUGAGAUUAACAGGGAAAAUGAAGAGAAUUUGAAUGGGAAUGUGGUGAAUGGUGAAAUGGGUAUGAAGAGAAUGAGGGCUAAAUUGUUGGAAGAGGCAAGAAAGAGCGUGCCGAAUCCUGGGGCUGGAUUAAAUGGGCAUUGCUUGGAUUGCAAAAACCACCUGAGGUUUCAGAAAUACAGGUUUUGGGAUGGAUGGGUGGGUGG